CCUACGAGGCGCUGAACCAGCCAAGUCGCGUGAUGGAAGACGGCCCUACGGGUUGUAAACCUCUUUUGUCAGGGAGCAAGGUGCAGGUCGGGACCUGCUGUGAGAGUACCUGAAGAAAAAGCAUCGGCUAACUCCGUGCCAGCAGCCGCGGUAACACGGAGGAUGCGAGCGUUAUCCGGAUUUAUUGGGUUAAAAGGGUGCGCAGGCGGAGGCCAAAGUCAGCGGUAAAAUCGCGGGGCUCAACCCCGCUCCGCCGUUGAAACUGUGUCCCUUGAGUGCGCGAAGGGUAGGCGGAAUGCGUGGUGUAGCGGUGAAAUGCAGAGAUAUCACGCAGAACUCCGAUCGCGAAGGCAGCCUACCGGCGCGCAACUGACGCUCAUGCACGAAAGCGUGGGUAUCGAACAGGAUUAGAUACCCGAGUAGUC
Molecule: ribosomal RNA, 425 nt
Filed under: uncultured bacterium
Lineage: Bacteria
Description: partial 16S ribosomal RNA
Rfam family: Bacterial small subunit ribosomal RNA
Source: RNAcentral